CGCUAACUACUGCCGAACCUCACAAUGGUGAGCACGGGGGAACUAAAGGCGUCCAUACGGACUUGGGGUGAAUCACGAUUGUGACGGGUGGUCCUUUGUACCCGAACCCGACAAACUCGUCGCAAACGACGGUGGUUCG
Molecule: small RNA, 139 nt
Filed under: Paenalicyclobacillus ferrooxydans
Lineage: Bacteria; Bacillati; Bacillota; Bacilli; Caryophanales; Alicyclobacillaceae
Description: Alicyclobacillus ferrooxydans c-di-AMP sequence
Rfam family: c-di-AMP riboswitch aptamer (ydaO/yuaA leader)
About the family: This family represents a conserved RNA structure found upstream of the ydaO and yuaA genes in Bacillus subtilis and related genes in other bacteria.
Source: Rfam by way of RNAcentral